UGUGACGUGACCGCAUGGUCUGCGUUUGGAAAGAUUUUUCGGUUGGGGAGGGGCUCGCGGCCUAUCAGCUUGUUGGUGAGGUAAUGGCUCACCAAGGCGUCGACGGGUAGCCGGCCUGAGAGGGUGACCGGCCACACUGGGACUGAGACACGGCCCAGACUCCUACGGGAGGCAGCAGUGGGGAAUAUUGCACAAUGGGCGGAAGCCUGAUGCAGCAACGCCGCGUGAGGGAUGACGGCCUUCGGGUUGUAAACCUCUUUUAGCAGGGAAGAAGCGAAAGUGACGGUACCUGCAGAAAAAGCGCCGGCUAACUACGUGCCAGCAGCCGCGGUAAUACGUAGGGCGCAAGCGUUAUCCGGAAUUAUUGGGCGUAAAGAGCUCGUAGGCGGUUUGUCGCGUCUGCUGUGAAAUCCCGAGGCUCAACCUCGGGCCUGCAGUGGGUACGGGCAGACUAGAGUGCGGUAGGGGAGAUUGGAAUUCCUGGUGUAGCGGUGGAAUGCGCAGAUAUCAGGAGGAACACCGAUGGCGAAGGCAGAUCUCUGGGCCGUAACUGACGCUGAGGAGCGAAAGGGUGGGGAGCAAACAGGCUUAGAUACCCUGGUAGUCCACCCCGUAAACGUUGGGAACUAGUUGUGGGGUCCAUUCCACGGAUUCCGUGACGCAGCUAACGCAUUAAGUUCCCCGCCUGGGGAGUACGGCCGCAAGGCUAAAACUCAAAGGAAUUGACGGGGACCCGCACAAGCGGCGGAGCAUGCGGAUUAAUUCGAUGCAACGCGAAGAACCUUACCAAGGCUUGACAUAUACGAGAACGGGCCAGAAAUGGUCAACUCUUUGGACACUCGUAAACAGGUGGUGCAUGGUUGUCGUCAGCUCGUGUCGUGAGAUGUUGGGUUAAGUCCCGCAACGAGCGCAACCCUCGUUCUAUGUUGCCAGCACGUAAUGGUGGGAACUCAUGGGAUACUGCCGGGGUCAACUCGGAGGAAGGUGGGGAUGACGUCAAAUCAUCAUGCCCCUUAUGUCUUGGGCUUCACGCAUGCUACAAUGGCCGGUACAAAGGGCUGCAAUACCGUGAGGUGGAGCGAAUCCCAAAAAGCCGGUCCCAGUUCGGAUUGAGGUCUGCAACUCGACCUCAUGAAGUCGGAGUCGCUAGUAAUCGCAGAUCAGCAACGCUGCGGUGAAUACGUUCCCGGGUCUUGUACACACCGCCCGUCAAGUCAUGAAAGUCGGUAACACCUGAAGCCGGUGGCCUAACCCUUGUGGAGGGAGCCGUCGAAGGUG
This 1278-nucleotide ribosomal RNA is filed under the name Microbacterium paraoxydans. RNAcentral's name for it is "bacterial SSU rRNA". It matches the Rfam family "Bacterial small subunit ribosomal RNA", at positions 173 to 1464 of the family's 1533-position model. The record is from RNAcentral. Lineage: Bacteria; Bacillati; Actinomycetota; Actinomycetes; Micrococcales; Microbacteriaceae.